GGAAGGUCAUCAUUGAAUAAACCUGCACAGGCUGUUGCUGGCCCUUCUUGGGUAUGUGCACGCUUGUGUCAUCUUUAUUUUCUCCAACUUGUGCACAUAAUUGUAGAUCUGGAUUAUAUUUUUGAAAUCAUUUUUUUUCGAGUUGGGACUUGCUGUGUUUCUCUCACAGCUUUUUGCCCUGCAUUUUUCCAGGUCUAUGUCAUUUCACAACCUCGAAUACAGAAUGUUGAAUCAUAAAAGUUAAAUAUACAACUUUCAGCAACGGAUCUCUUGGCUCUCGCAUCGAUGAAGAACGCAGCGAAAUGCGAUAAGUAAUGUGAAUUGCAGAAUUCAGUGAAUCAUCGAAUCUUUGAACGCAUCUUGCGCUCCUUGGUAUUCCGAGGAGCAUGCCUGUUUGAGUGUCAUUAAAGUUCUCAACCACAUACUACAUAUGUGGCUUGGAUGGUGGGGGUUUGCAGGCUUUCUCUGAGGGUCUGCUCCUCUGAAAUGCAUUAGUGGUAUUCCUGAGCUUUACUACAGAUGUGAUAAUUUAUCUACAUCCCAAAAGUAUGCUUCAACAACACCGCUCCUAACAAGCGAAAGCACAUUUCGAUGAAUUUGACCUCAAAUCAGG
Molecule: ribosomal RNA, 613 nt
Filed under: uncultured fungus
Lineage: Eukaryota; Fungi
Description: eukaryotic LSU rRNA
Rfam family: 5.8S ribosomal RNA (bases 251-404)
Source: RNAcentral